This 497-nucleotide ribosomal RNA is filed under the name uncultured bacterium. RNAcentral's name for it is "partial 16S ribosomal RNA". It matches the Rfam family "Bacterial small subunit ribosomal RNA", at positions 28 to 507 of the family's 1533-position model. The record is from RNAcentral.
GAUGAACGCUGGCGGCGUGCCUAAUACAUGCAAGUCGAGCGAACGGACGAGAAGCUUGCUUUUCUGAUGUUAGCGGCGGACGGGUGAGUAACACGUGGAUAACCUACCUAUAAGACUGGGAUAACUUCGGGGAACCGGAGCUACUACCGGAUAAUAUUUUGAACCGCAUGGUUCAAAAGUGAAAGACGCUCUUGCUGUCACUUAUAGAUGGAUCCGCGCUGCAUUAGCUAGUUGGUAAGGUAACGGCUUACCAAGGCAACGAUGCAUAGCUGACCUGAGAGGAUGAUCGGCCACACUGGAACUGAGACACGGUCCAGACUCCUACGGGAGGCAGCAGUAGGGAAUCUUCCGCAAAGGGCGAAAGCCUGACGGAGCAACGCCGCGUGAGUGAUGAAGGUCUUCGGAUCGUAAAACUCUGUUAUUAGGGAAGAACAUAUGUGUAAGUAACUGUGCACAUCUUGACGGUACCUAAUCAGAAAGCCACGGCUAACUACGUG